CUUCGGGGGAUUGUGGCGACGGGUGAGUACACGUGGGCAAUCUGCCCUUCACUCUGGGACAAGCCCUGGAAACGGGGUCUAAUACCGGAUAACACUCUGUCCUGCAUGGGACGGGGUUAAAAGCUCCGGCGGUGAAGGAUGAGCCCGCGGCCUAUCAGCUUGUUGGUGGGGUAAUGGCCUACCAAGGCGACGACGGGUAGCCGGCCUGAGAGGGCGACCGGCCACACUGGGACUGAGACACGGCCCAGACUCCUACGGGAGGCAGCAGUGGGGAAUAUUGCACAAUGGGCGAAAGCCUGAUGCAGCGACGCCGCGUGAGGGAUGACGGCCUUCGGGUUGUAAACCUCUUUCAGCAGGGAAGAAGCGAAAGUGACGGUACCUGCAGAAGAAGCGCCGGCUAACUACGUGCCAGCAGCCGGGGGUAAUACG
Molecule: ribosomal RNA, 429 nt
Filed under: Streptomyces sp. MBT58
Lineage: Bacteria; Bacillati; Actinomycetota; Actinomycetes; Kitasatosporales; Streptomycetaceae
Description: bacterial SSU rRNA
Rfam family: Bacterial small subunit ribosomal RNA
Source: RNAcentral